UACGUAGGCAGCAAGCGUUGUUCGGAAUUACUGGCGUAAAGAGUGUGUAGGCGGUGCUCUAAGUUCGGUGUGAAAUCUCCCGGCUCAACUGGGAGGGUGCGCCGAAAACUGGGGUGCUGGAGCGCGGGAGAGGAAAGCGGAAUUCCUGGUGUAGCGGUGAAAUGCGUAGAUAUCAGGAGGAACACCGGCGGUGUAGACGGCUUUCUGGACCGUAGCUGACGCUGAGACACGAAAGCGUGGGUAGCAAACAGG
This 252-nucleotide ribosomal RNA is filed under the name uncultured bacterium. RNAcentral's name for it is "partial 16S ribosomal RNA". It matches the Rfam family "Bacterial small subunit ribosomal RNA", at positions 524 to 776 of the family's 1533-position model. The record is from RNAcentral.